Molecule: ribosomal RNA, 595 nt
Filed under: uncultured bacterium
Lineage: Bacteria
Description: bacterial SSU rRNA
Rfam family: Bacterial small subunit ribosomal RNA
Source: RNAcentral
GCUUCCUACUCCUUUAAGAAGUGGGGAAUAUUGGACAAUGGGCGCAAGCCUGAUCCAGCCAUACCGCGUGGGUGAAGAAGGCCUUCGGGUUGUAAAGCCCUUUUGUUGGGAAAGAAAUCCUGCCGGUUAAUAACCAGUAGGGAUGACGGUACCCAAAGAAUAAGCACCGGCUAACUUCGUGCCAGCAGCCGCGGUAAUACGAAGGGUGCAAGCGUUACUCGGAAUUACUGGGCGUAAAGCGUGCGUAGGUGGUUGUUUAAGUCUGCUGUGAAAGCCCUGGGCUCAACCUGGGAAUUGCAGUGGAUACUGGGCGACUAGAGUGUGGUAGAGGAUAGUGGAAUUUCCGGUGUAGCAGUGAAAUGCGUAGAGAUCGGAAGGAACAUCUGUGGCGAAGGCGACUAUCUGGGCCAACACUGACACUGAGGCACGAAAGCGUGGGGAGCAAACAGGAUUAGAUACCCUGGUAGUCCACGCCCUAAACGAUGCGAACUGGAUGUUGGGCACAACUUGGUGCCCAGUAUCGAAGCUAACGCGUUAAGUUCGCCGCCUGGGGAGUACGGUCGCAAGACUGAAACUCAAAGGAAUUGACGGAAGC